GGUCAGAUGGCCGAGUGGUGAGGCGGAGGUUAGCAAAACCUUUUACGGUGGUUCAACUCCAUCUCUGACCU
RNAcentral lists this transfer RNA (71 nucleotides) under Mucilaginibacter mali. It matches the Rfam family "tRNA". From Rfam's summary of the family: Transfer RNA (tRNA) molecules are approximately 80 nucleotides in length. The record is from Rfam by way of RNAcentral. Lineage: Bacteria; Pseudomonadati; Bacteroidota; Sphingobacteriia; Sphingobacteriales; Sphingobacteriaceae.